AGAGUUUGAUCCUGGCUCAGAUUGAACGCUGGCGGCAUGCCUUACACAUGCAAGUCGAACGGCAGCGCGGGGCAACCUGGCGGCGAGUGGCGAACGGGUGAGUAAUAUAUCGGAACGUGCCCUGGAGUGGGGGAUAACGCAGCGAAAGUUGCGCUAAUACCGCAUACGAUCUAAGGAUGAAAGCAGGGGACCGCAAGGCCUUGUGCUCCUGGAGCGGCCGAUAUCUGAUUAGCUAGUUGGUGGGGUAAAGGCCUACCAAGGCAUCGAUCAGUAGCUGGUCUGAGAGGACGACCAGCCACACUGGAACUGAGACACGGUCCAGACUCCUACGGGAGGCAGCAGUGGGGAAUUUUGGACAAUGGGCGCAAGCCUGAUCCAGCAAUGCCGCGUGAGUGAAGAAGGCCUUCGGGUUGUAAAGCUCUUUUGUCAGGGAAGAAACGGUAUGGGCUAAUAUCCCGUACUAAUGACGGUACCUGAAGAAUAAGCACCGGCUAACUACGUGCCAGCAGCCGCGGUAAUACGUAGGGUGCAAGCGUUAAUCGGAAUUACUGGGCGUAAAGCGUGCGCAGGCGGUUUUGUAAGUCUGUCGUGAAAUCCCCGGGCUCAACCUGGGAAUUGCGAUGGAGACUGCAAGGCUAGAAUCUGGCAGAGGGGGGUAGAAUUCCACGUAGCAGUGAAAUGCGUAGAGAUGUGGAGGAACACCGAUGGCGAAGGCAGCCCCCUGGGUCAAGAUUGACGCUCAUGCACGAAAGCGUGGGGAGCAAACAGGAUUAGAUACCCUAGUAGUCC
This 789-nucleotide ribosomal RNA is filed under the name uncultured bacterium. RNAcentral describes it as "bacterial SSU rRNA". It matches the Rfam family "Bacterial small subunit ribosomal RNA", at positions 8 to 796 of the family's 1533-position model. The record is from RNAcentral.